UUGGAAAUGGGAAUUAGAGAUGAGCAGCACCAGGAGAAACAUCAGGCAGGAUUCCUCUGAACCAGUCACCCUUAAUCUCUUUUACAGAGUUUUGCAAAUUCUAUAUUUGUGGAGCAGGGUUUGUCCCCAGGGAAUAAAUGCCAUAAUCCUCUGCGCUGAGCUCCAAAGUCCUUUGCUAACACUUGGACAGGUGGAGGGAUGAAUUCACACAAGUUCAAGAUAUUUAUGUGCUGCUUUAAAAAUACACAUUGAAGUUCUAACAGGCCUGUGAAGUUUGACUUUUCAUUUUUAUAAAAGAAUUCUUUUAAAAUUCUUAUAAAAUCUGUGUAAGAUAUUUCAGAAGGUGGAGUGAUUCAGAGUGAAAUUCAAACCUAAAUCUAAAUUUUCUAGUGCAAUCACACCCAGGCUUAGCACAGGCCUGUUUUGUUGUUUUAUUUGUUUUUUUCCUGAGCUACUGCUGAAAAUGCCAAGCCAGCACGGC
RNAcentral lists this long non-coding RNA (481 nucleotides) under Parus major (Great Tit). RNAcentral describes it as "lncRNA (ENSPMJG00000009823.1)". Lineage: Eukaryota; Metazoa; Chordata; Aves; Passeriformes; Paridae. The record is from RNAcentral.